Molecule: ribosomal RNA, 395 nt
Filed under: uncultured microorganism
Description: bacterial SSU rRNA
Rfam family: Archaeal small subunit ribosomal RNA
Source: RNAcentral
GUGCAGCAGGCGCGAAAACUUUACAAUGUGCGAAAGCACGAUAAGGGAACUCUGAGUGCCUCCUAAGGAGGCUGUUCUGAUGUCUAAAAAGCAACAGAAGUAAGGGCUGGGUAAGACCGGUGCCAGCCGCCGCGGUAACACCGGCAGCCCAAGUGGUAGCCACGUUUAUUGGGUCUAAGCGUUCGUAGCCGGCCAGGUAAGUUCCUUGGUAAAUUUAGCCGCUUAACGGUUAAGCUUUCAGGGAAUACUGCUUGGCUUGGGACUGGGAGAGGUCAGAGGUACUCCGGGGGUAGGGGUGAAAUCUAUUAAUCCCUGGGGGACCACCGGUAGCGAAGGCGUCUGACCAGACCAGGUCCGACGGUGAGGGACGAAGGCUAGGGGCGCGAACCGGAUUA